Molecule: long non-coding RNA, 1751 nt
Organism: Camarhynchus parvulus
Lineage: Eukaryota; Metazoa; Chordata; Aves; Passeriformes; Thraupidae
Source: Ensembl
CGGGGAUUUUGGGGGAAUUUCCUGGGAAUUUUGGGGGAUUUUUGGGGGAUUUGGGGAAAAAAUCAGCUCGGGGGGGGGUGGAGCUUUCCUAAAUUUUCCCCGACUUUCCUGGAUUUUCCCAGAUUUUCCCCCAGAUUUUCCCAAAUUUCCCCAGAUUUUCUUGAUUUUGCUCCCAAUUUUCCCAGAUUUUCCUGGAUUUCCCCAGAUUUUCUUAAUUUUUCUUCCAUUUUUCUCAGAUUUUGCACGAUUUCCCCAGGUUUUUCCCCCUAUAUUUUCUUGGCUUUUCCCAGAUUUUUAUAAUUUUUCUUGGAUUUUCCCAAAUUCUCCCAGAUUUUCCCCAUUUUUCUUGCAUUUUCCCAGAUUUUCCUGGGUUGCCCAAGAUUUUUUCCAGAUUCUCCUCAGAUUUUCCCCAGAUUUUCUUGGAUUUUCCCAGAUUUUUGUAAAUUUUUUUUUAUUUUCCCAGGUUUUCCAGUUUUUUCCCGAUUUCCCCAUAUUUUCCGAGAUUUCCCUGGUAUUUCCCCAGAUUUUCAUUGUAUUUUUCUAAUAUUUCCCAGAUUUUCUCUUAUUUUCCCAGAUUUUCUUACAUUUCCCAGAUUUUCCUGGGUUUUCCCUUGUUUUUCCCAUGUUUUGCUUAGAUUUUCCCUCGAUUUUCUGAAAUUUUCCCGGAUUUUCCUUGAUUUUUUCCCAGAUUUUUCUGCUUUUUUUUUCCCAAUUUUUUUGCCUUUUUCCCAGAUUUUUUGCUUUUUUUUUCCCAAAUUUUUUGGCGUUUUUCCCAGAUUUUUGGGUUUUGAUUUUUUGGGGUUUUUCCCCAGAUUUUUCUGCUUUUUUUUCCCAGAUUAUUUUGCCUUUUUCCCAGAUUUUUUCGGGGUUUUUUCCCAAAUUUUUUUGCCUUUUCCCCAGAUUUUUUGGGGUUUUUUCCUGGAAUUUUUUUGCCUUUUUCCCAGAUUUUUUUUUCCUUUUCCCAGAUUUUUUGGGCUUUUUUCCCCCCAGAUUUUUUGGGAUUUUUUCCCCAGAUUUUUCUGCCUUUUAACCAUUUUUUUUUGCCUUUUUCCCAUAUUUUUCUGCUUUUUUUUCCCCAGAUUUUUUUGCCUUUUUCCCAGAUUUUUCUGCUUUUUUCCCAGAUUUUCCUUUGCCUUUUUCCCAGAUUUUUUAGGGUUUUUCCCCAGAUUUUUUGGAGUUUUUUCCCAGAUUUUCCUGCUUUUUCCCCCAGAUUUUUUGGAUUUUUUCCCCAGAUUUUCCUGCUUUUUCCCCAGAUUUUCCUGCUUUUUUCCCAGAUUUUCCUGCUUUUUUUUCCCAGAUUUUUUUUUGCCUUUUCCCCAGAUUUUUUUGGGUUUUUCCCAGAUUUUUUGGAGUUGUUUUUCCCAGAUUUUUUGGGGUUUUUUUCCCAGAUUUUUCUGCUUUUUUCCCCCAUUUUUCCCCAUUUUUUCCCCAGCUCCCUCCCCGAAUUCCCCAAAUUUCCCCAAUUCCAGGGCCGGGCCGGGCGUUGCUUGGGAAAGGCUCUGGGGGUUUUUGGGGGGUCCCCCCCCCAACCCGGCCCCUCCUCGUGACCCAAACCCCCAAAUUGCUGCAGCCCAAGCUGACCCCGCAGGAGAAGCUCCGGCUCAGGAUGCAGAAGGCGCUCAACAGGCAGUGUGAGCAUUCCCAAAAAAUCCCCAAAAAAAUCCCCAACAAAAUCCCCAAAAAAUUCCCAAAAAAUUCCCCCAAAAAAUUCCCAAAAAUUCCCAAAAAAUCCCAAAAAUUCCCAAAAAAAU